RNAcentral lists this ribosomal RNA (468 nucleotides) under uncultured bacterium. Its description in RNAcentral is "partial 16S ribosomal RNA". It matches the Rfam family "Bacterial small subunit ribosomal RNA", at positions 28 to 507 of the family's 1533-position model. The record is from RNAcentral.
GACGAACGCUGGCGGCGUGCUUAACACAUGCAAGUCGAACGGAAAGGCCCUGCUUUUGUUGGUUGCUCGAUUGGCGAACGGGGGAGUAACACGUGAGUAACCUGCCCUUGACUUUGGGAUAACUUCAGGAAACUGGGGCUAAUACCGGAUAGGAGCUCCUGCUGCAUGGGGGGGGUUGGAAAGUUUCGGCUGUUGGGGAUGGACUCGCGGCUUAUCAGCUUGUUGGUGGGGUAGUUGCUUACCAAGGCUUUGACGGGUAGCCGGCCUGAGAGGGUGACCGGCCACCUUGGGACUGAGAUACGGACCAGUCUCCUACGGGCGGCAGUGGUCGGGAAUAUUGCACAACGGGCCGAAGCCUGAUGCAGAAACCCCCGGUGCGGGAUGCCGGCCUUCGGGUUGUAAACCGCUUUCGACUGUGCCGAAGCGUGAGUGACGGUAAUGGGUAAAGAAGCAACGGCUAACUACGUG